Molecule: ribosomal RNA, 389 nt
Filed under: uncultured Nitrospina sp.
Lineage: Bacteria; Pseudomonadati; Nitrospinota; Nitrospinia; Nitrospinales; Nitrospinaceae
Description: bacterial SSU rRNA
Rfam family: Bacterial small subunit ribosomal RNA
Source: RNAcentral
AACGAACGCUGGUGGCGUGCUUAACACAUGCAAGUCGAACGAGAAAAUUUUCUUCGGGAAAUUAGUAAAGUGGCGCAAGGGUGAGUAACACGUGAAUAAUCUGCCCUCGAGAUCGGGAUAACAUGGUGAAAACUAUGCUAAUACCGGAUAAGACCACAUUUCGCAGGAAAUGCGGUAAAAGGAGUCUCAAUCUUCACUCGAGGAUGAGUUCGCGCAACAUUAGCUUGUUGGUGGGAUAAAAGCUCACCAAGGCUACGAUGUUUAGCCGGCCUGAGAGGGUGAACGGCCACACUGGAACUGAGACACGGCCCAGACUCCUACGGGAGGCAGCAGUGGGGAAUAUUGGACAAUGGGCGCAAGCCUGAUCCAGCAAUACCGCGUGUGUGACG